CCUACGGGAGGCAGCAGUGGGGAAUAUUGGUCAAUGGCCGAGAGGCUGAACCAGCCAAGUCGCGUGAGGGAAGACGGCCCUACGGGUUGUAAACCUCUUUUGUCGGGGAGCAAAGCGAGUCACGUGUGACUCAUUGAGAGUACCCGAAGAAAAAGCAUCGGCUAACUCCGUGCCAGCAGCCGCGGUAAUACGGAGGAUGCGAGCGUUAUCCGGAUUUAUUGGGUUUAAAGGGUGCGCAGGCGGAGGUGCAAGUCAGCGGUCAAAUUGCGGGGCUCAACCCCGUACUGCCGUUGAAACUGCAGCCCUUGAGUGCGCGAGAAGUAUGCGGAAUGCGUGGUGUAGCGGUGAAAUGCAUAGAUAUCACGCAGAACUCCGAUUGCGAAGGCAGCAUACCGGCGCGCAACUGACGCUCAUGCACGAAAGCGUGGGUAUCGAACAGGAUUAGAUACCCCAGUAGUC
RNAcentral lists this ribosomal RNA (459 nucleotides) under uncultured bacterium. Its description in RNAcentral is "partial 16S ribosomal RNA". It matches the Rfam family "Bacterial small subunit ribosomal RNA", at positions 338 to 795 of the family's 1533-position model. The record is from RNAcentral.